AGGCGAAAGAAUAGUUCGC
RNAcentral lists this small nuclear RNA (19 nucleotides) under Arabidopsis thaliana (thale cress). RNAcentral's name for it is "snRNA_13060". Lineage: Eukaryota; Viridiplantae; Streptophyta; Magnoliopsida; Brassicales; Brassicaceae. The record is from RNAcentral.